RNAcentral lists this ribosomal RNA (424 nucleotides) under Verrucomicrobiota bacterium. Its description in RNAcentral is "Verrucomicrobia bacterium partial 16S ribosomal RNA". It matches the Rfam family "Bacterial small subunit ribosomal RNA", at positions 355 to 776 of the family's 1533-position model. Lineage: Bacteria; Pseudomonadati; Verrucomicrobiota. The record is from RNAcentral.
UGGGGAAUAUUGGUCAAUGGGCGAGAGCCUGAACCAGCCAAGUAGCGUGCAGGAUGACGGCCCUAUGGGUUGUAAACUGCUUUUAUAUGGGAAUAAAGUGAGGGACGUGUCCCUUAUUGCAUGUACCAUACGAAUAAGGACCGGCUAAUUCCGUGCCAGCAGCCGCGGUAAUACGGAAGGUCCAGGCGUUAUCCGGAUUUAUUGGGUUUAAAGGGAGCGUAGGCUGUUUGUUAAGCGUGUUGUGAAAUGUAGGAGCUCAACUUUUAGAUUGCAGCGCGAACUGGCAGACUUGAGUGCGCACAACGUAGGCGGAAUUCAUGGUGUAGCGGUGAAAUGCUUAGAUAUCAUGACGAACUCCGAUUGCGAAGGCAGCUUACGGGAGCGCAACUGACGCUAAAGCUCGAAGGUGCGGGUAUCGAACAGG